RNAcentral lists this long non-coding RNA (8628 nucleotides) under Triticum aestivum (bread wheat). RNAcentral describes it as "long non-coding RNA (TAES_LNC021816)". The record is from RNAcentral. Lineage: Eukaryota; Viridiplantae; Streptophyta; Magnoliopsida; Poales; Poaceae.
AGUAUCCAACAUUUAUUCUGACAUGUAGUCCAGCCAAAAUGUGUCUACUCUGCCGUGCCGUGCAGAUACUGUGCAAAUCUAACGACUGCCGUGCAGAUACUGUGCAAAAAAGCUGAAGCAUGCAACAAAAAAACAUUAGCAAUAAAAAUUCAGCCAUUGGCGUAGACCCAAUUUUCGCUCGUAGAUAAUUAGUUUUCGCCGAGAGCAUGAUCAUAGUCAAAUCAGCCGAGUUGUACUCGAGUCAUGUCCUAAUCGAUUAUCACCUUCUGCAAGCAUAUAAAAAACACACUUUAUGAAGGUUGAUUCGACGUCUGGUGCCUUCUUUUUCAUUGUAUUUCGGACGGGUUGUUGCAACAUAGUACAUGUAUACAUAGUUCAAUAGGACAUAAUUAGCAACAGAAUACCUAUACUACUCCGGGAGGCAGCAAGGCUGGUCGGUGCCAAGAGAAGGAUUAGGAGGUAUAUGCCUUCAUGCUGCUCAUGGCUAGGAACACCUUUUUUCUGUGUGGCGAGAAAAACCUACCUGUUAUAUAUACUAUGUAUAGUGUACUUUCCGUGGAGCAACCUGACACAUAUCUGUAUUGCACAGUCGAAAUUACUAUAUUGUGUAUAACAUAUGGUUGCAUACCUCAACGUGUGUUUAUAAAAGGUCCAGAUUUUCCUGGUCAUGGGACGACACUGCCUAGAACAAUCCCACGCUGCCUCCAUGCCCAUGAUGUCUAGAGCUAGUCAUCUGGUCAUGUUGCUUUAUCAGGCCAAGUCUUCAUAUCAGCAAGUUUGUGACCGGCCUGCAGCUAGGGCAUGCGACAUGGGUUGAUUUAAUUGACCGUCUCACUCAUCCAUGGGUGUUUGAUGGCCAUCGGUUCAUUGAUGCAAUAUUCCCCUAGGCUCCCAGUCUUAAUCUGAUCUGCCAUUGCUACAAAUGCGUCAAAGGCACACAGACCAUACAAUGAGGAGAGGCCAUGGGGACGCAGAGGCAACAAAUCCUCCUUGAGCCAAGGGACAUGGAUCAAUUGGACGGUUAGAGAAUGGGAUGGCAGCGAGAUCAAAACUCCUACCCCACCAGGAGGUAGUGGCAGAGAAGAUGGGUUUCGUGAGAGGAAGGAAGGAGAUAAAAAGAAAUAAGGAGAGGAAGGAGAUAAAAGAGAGGACGGUUCCAUUUUUUCAGCUGGGCCAACCGUGAUUUCGGGAGAGAAGGAAGGAUAUAAAGAGAGGACUUCAGGAAUUUUUUUAUCCAACGGUUAUAGAUGGAUCUCUAUACAUGGCUGCUGGUCUAUUUAUUUUUUUGAACUUGAUGGCGGCUAGUCUAUACAACCGAGAAUUGUUUUUCUCGAUAGACAACCGAGACAUAAUGAUAUAUACAUGAAUUGAUCUACACCAUAAUAAUUCAGUCCCACCAGAUUAACGGCUCCUAAUUACUGAUUAACGUGAGAAUUUCUAGGAAGUCAGAAAUUAGUAUAGGUAGAUAUAGAUAGAUAGAUAGAUGGAUAGAUGGAUAGAUGGAUAGAUAUCCUACUUCGCAUCUUCUUACGCUAGAGCAUCAUCUUUUGCAGCUAAAUAGAGGCUUGACCGAUGGAGUAUGGCCGAAGUCACUGGUUGCCUCUUUGCAGCGUGCAUGGUAGAGUAAACUUGUUUUGUUCAGUGAAUCUACUAGCAAUAAUUGUCCUAAUUGAUGGUGCAGAUUCCCGUCAGUACCCUCGGUAGGGUACUUAGUGUUGAUUCCCGGCGCAGCUCGAGGCCGUUGGAAAGGCACCGUUCAGGCGACGUUGAUCGCCGAGCGGAAACGGAAGAGGGUCGUCGCUGAGGAGCAAAAGAAGAGGGAGGCUAAUGAGACCAUCGGAAAGUGGUUUCCCUCGACCUCCUCGAACGAAGAUCUCAAGAGGCUGAAGGCGGAGAGGUUGUUCCCAGUGGAUCUGGAGCACUGGGUACCUGAACAUGAGGUCUCGUCGACGUCGGCCGCCAGCGAGCGCGUGCUCUAUCAAGAUUUCUUUGGUCGUGGGCUUGGGUUCAGCUGCACAGGUUUGUGCACGGGCUAUUCUUAUUCUCCGGCUGUUAGCUCCAUCACCUAUUGACAAAUGGAAUUCACCACAUCGCCAACUUCAUCACCUUCUAUGAGUGUUACAUUGGGACGGCUCCUCGCUUUGAGCCGUUUCGCCACUUCUUCUACAUGCAGGUGCAGACAAACGACAAAGCCAUCCACAACCUUGGAGUAGUUAGUCUGCAUCUCCGACUAACCUCCUAGUUUUUUCCCGUGGAUCAAUCAUAGUCUUUUCGAUGAGUAAGAAUAUUAAACCCAACGAGGAGCAGAAGGAAUUGAUAAGUAGUUUUCAGCAAUGGUUCAUUGUAAAUGUUGUAAAGAAAAUUUGAUAGGUUAUGUGGUAGCAAGAUAAUUAGUAGCAAGGUAAAUAGUAACAAAAAGCAACAGAAUGCAGCAAGUGGCCCAAUCCCUAUGUAGACUAAGUACUCCCUCCGUCCCAAAAUAAGUUAGUACUAAAGUUAGUACAAAGUUGAGACGCUUAUUUAGGAAUGAGGGACUGCAAGCCAGUUGUGUUUCUUGUAGGGACUAAAUCUUGAGUACAUACGAGAAUCUCGCAAGCUACUUUCACCAUGAUUCAUUAAGUUAUCGUUCAUGGAUUUGAUAAGUGUUGUUGUGGAUACCCUUGUCAUUGAAAUUUUGGGUUAAUAGUCUAUUGGUUAACUUUACUUUCAAGUGUAAUUUAGAAGUAAAAAUAAUUUUGAGAAAAGUUGCCUAUACCUUUUCAAAAAGAGAUGGAUAACUAAGGACCUUGUUGUUGCAUGUAUGAUGCUAAGGGACUUCAUGUACAUCUAGAAUGUGGACAACCCCUAUUUCUGUGUAUGUGAUAAAGGUUGGGUUGCCUAGACCAAUCCUUCGUAGGAAAGAGUCCAGUAAUGAUGCGCACUUUAUCUCACACGUCUGUCCACAUCUGACUAGUACAAGCUCACCUAUUACUUUUAUAUGUCCCAUAUCGAACAGUGCCCCCGCCCCACAUCUGACUAGCGGAUUGAUACGUCCAUUUUGCAUCAUGUUUUCCUGCUGUUAUUUAUUGUGUUUUGGAUUGUUAUUUCACUUUAUGAUACAUGAUACAAUUCUCAUGCCCUUUUUCUCUUAUUUUGCAAGUUUCAUAUGAAUAGGGAGAUUGUCGGCAGCUGGAAUUCUGGACCAGAAAGGGCUAUAUUAGAGACACCUAUCCUACACAACUCCAAAUGACCUAAAAAUUGACGGAGAAUUAUUUUGAAAUAUAUAAAAAAUUAUUGCCGAAAGAAUCAUCAGCUGGGGACCCACUAGGCAGCCACAAGCCUGGGGGCGCGCCCUACCCCUCAAGGCGUGCCCCUGGACUUUGUGGGGCCCUGGCAGGCCUAUGAAGCCCAUCUUCCGCUAUAAGGUGUCAUUUGACCUAGAAAAGAAUCAAGAGGAAGGUUUCGGGACGAAGCGUCGCCGUUUCGAGGAGGAACCUGGGCAGGAGCACUUUUGCACUCCGGCGUAGCGAUUCCGACGGGGAAACUUCCCUUCGGAAGGGGGAAAUCGAAGCUAUCGACAUCACCAACAAUCCUCUCAUCGUGGGAGGACCAAUCUUUAUCAACAACUUCACCAGCACCAUCUUAUCUCAAAUCCUAGUUCAUCUCUUGUAUUCAAUAUUUGUCUCGAAACCUCAGAUUGGUAUAUGUGGGUUGCUAGUAGUGUUGAUUACAUCUUGUACCUAAUGUUGAAUCCUUUCUCCCACAAGUACAACUUGUAAAAGUCGUAAGCUUCACCCAACGUAUCAAAACUGGUACCUAAUGCAGGAAAUAUCACAAUGUCCCUUGGAUUAUCUGUGAAGCCAUGUAUUGCCUUCUCCAAGACACUCUUGCGGCUAGGACAAGGCGUCCUUCCGAGAGCGGCAGCUCCGACCAUGACUCCACAAUCAAAAGUUCAGGAGUCACUACAUCAGUGCCAAACAUAUUCAAAAAAUUGUGUGUUUUUCUUUCUAUGCAGUGGAUCCGUUAUUCUCAAUUACUUGGUCUGCUCUUAAUAUUUCUUUACUAAUCACGUUAAGUCAAAUAGCCACAUGCUAGCAAAUCAUUUGUUUUUCAUAAAUUUAAUGGUCAUUGCCUUUUUUUAAUAAUUUAACAUAAAUGAGGUGAAUUCGAAUCACUCUCGUAUUUCACAGCAGAACGGGCUCAAAACAAUACUUAAUAGACCUGAUAAGUGUACACGUGUAGCACAAACACAUGGCAACUUCGAAUAUUUUUUUGAUAGUAAGUUUAGUGACUCGAGGAUGACAACUUUUUUUGGAUGGCAAAUUACCUUUUUUAUGUUUUUUAAUAGCAUUUUUAGUUGUAAAAAACAUCAGGGCCGGAGUACUUCCUGCCACACGUUCUGCACUCGUCAUUUGGGUACUUAAUUGCUUUUACUAGUAGCCUCACUGAACCAUGGUAUGUUAGUUCAGCUUUACUGCCACGAGGCAAGGGCUAUCAAACAGCUAAAUACAAUCAGGUAUUCCCUCCGUCCCAAAAUGUAAGACGUUUUUUGAUACUAUGAUAGUGUCAAAAGUCGUCUUAUAUUUUGGGACGGAGAGAGUAGAAUUUAAAAUGCACUCACGGGCUAGAAAAUGCUUCAACUAAUCAUGUGCGGACUUUAUUUUUAUGUUCUCUCUUUUACACAGGAUAUCUUCAACAUGGGAAGUUUUAGCAUAGCAGGUUGUUGCCUAUGUAGUGUUCGUGCAUAUGGGAAUUGUUGCCUACAUCGUUCACAAUGCCGCAAAAUAAACUUGCUCAGUUCUCUGGAUGUUUUGGCCUACAUGAUACGAGACACAAGCAGUGCUAGAUUUUACUUUUUAUUUUAUUUUGUUGUGACGAAGCAGUGCUAGAGUUUUGCCCACUAGUUUUCAUCCCCUGUUGCUAGCUCCUGCUGCUGCUGCCAAACUCGUGCUCGUCCCCGUGAUUUUUAUGCGUCCGGAAGAUUUUGAUCCCACCCCUAAAAUCUCGCAGAAAUGGUGCCAAAUUUGUGCACGAAAAGUUGAGCUCUUGUUCUUAUGAAUUGGGCGAGAUAUUGAGUUUCGCUCAUUGAGUUCCCCACUCGUAUUUGGCCACUCGUCCCCCUAACACCGCCACAUCGGCCAAAAACCACAUCCUCUACCUCGUGUGCAUGGCCAAAAUUAGCAGGGGAUCGUGUGCACUAACCUUCUGCCGUGAAUGACUGGGUGCACCUCACUGUCCAUAUCAUCGCCUUGGCACGUCACUGACACUCCUUUCCUCCUCCCUCUUUCUCUUCUCCGUCGAGCACGCUCGCUCCUAGUCGGGCCUAUCUGGUUCGUCGCUGCCGCUUUGGUACUUCCAACCCUGCGUUUUCCUUCGCUUUUCUGUGCGACACCUCUACCAAGUACCAACCAUGAUCGCGGAGUCUGAAAAGGGAUGGCCUUAGGCCAUGGCAAAAGUUAUGGUGGCUUAGGGCCCGUCUUAAAUGAGUGCCCGAUAUAUUUACAUAGCUAAACAAAUUAUAAACUCUGAUUUGUAGANNNNNNNNNNNNNNNNNNNNNNNNNNNNNNNNNNNNNNNNNNNNNNNNNNNNNNNNNNNNNNNNNNNNNNNNNNNNNNNNNNNNNNNNNNNNNNNNNNNNNNNNNNNNNNNNNNNNNNNNNNNNNNNNNNNNNNNNNNNNNNNNNNNNNNNNNNNNNNNNNNNNNNNNNNNNNNNNNNNNNNNNNNNNNNNNNNNNNNNNNNNNNNNNNNNNNNNNNNNNNNNNNNNNNNNNNNNNNNNNNNNNNNNNNNNNNNNNNNNNNNNNNNNNNNNNNNNNNNCAUGUAUAUUAGAAUUUCAUUUGUCUCAUAUAACCGGAUACACAUACUGUAUUAAGACUAUCUGCUAAUAAAAUUAUGGUUAAGUGCAUGGAUUAUUCAAUCAUGCAUGUCAGUGACAUCGUCAGUUUAUUACAGGCCGGACUAUGUGCAAGUUUAAUGGGCUCUCUUCCUGCAAAAAUAAAAACCUAAUUAGCUCUCUCGGCACAGGGUGUUACUCUUGAAAUCUCGAGUGUUGUACUUCUCAACCUUUCUCCACUGACGUGCUCACGUGUUUGUGAUUUUAAAGUGAAUGCCUUAGGCAGUGAGCAUUUGCCUUUCACUUCAAAUAGUUGGUUUAAUUGGUUAAUUAUAACCGGGGUUGACAUGCAAAAAAAAAUAUAACCAAGGUUGAAAUGCAAAGAACUUACUGGCCCUAUUGUCCAAGAUAAUUAUUUUCCAUUUGCAUCUCCACUGAGGAUUGACGGACCUUCCAAAUUCAUGCAUAGAAAAAUGAAGCAUUGCACACAAGGUAAAUCAUAUGCACCAAUACAAUAUACUAGAAGCAUAUGCGCGCCUUGGCACUCCGUUUUUUAACUUUAUCGGCCUUUUUUCAUACCUUUGAUGCUUGGCUUUCUCCUUGUAUGCAUGCAACGCUUGCACGCUGUAUUGGACAUUUACAAAUACAGCUAUUGCAUCAAAAUUUCUAGCAGGUGUGUAGGCGAGGGGUUAUCGCUUACCGGCAGGUACGCCACCACGCAAAAAGGAGCAGCCACAGCUACCCACUGAGAUUAGAGGUUGUAGAGACAGUUGGGCUUCCGGGAUAUACAUUGUUUCGAUGCUUUCGAGGUAAAUAUGGAGCGACCGGAGAGCCCUUUGUGGUCAGGUACUGCAGGCCAAAUACUACCCUGACGGCAACAUAUUUGGGGCCGGCUGCACCAAAGGACGGCGUUUCGUAUGCUUGGAGGAGCCUUCUACAUGGGCUUGAGCUAGUAAAACAGGGGUAUGUUUGGCGUAUCGGCGAUGGUCAGAGUCUGAACACCUGGGACGAUCCAUGGCAACCAAAGGCAUGGUGUAGGCGUGUCACAACGCCGAGGAAUGGGGUUCUUUCUGCUGGAUAAAGCAAGUGAACUAGGUAAUGAAUCUGAUCACUGCUAAAUGGGAUGAGCAGCUUGUUAGGGAUGUCCCCAUCAAAAAAAAGAAAGCUUGUUAGGGAUGUCUUUCACCCGGAAGAUGCCAACCUCGUCCUCGGAAUCCCGCCGAGAGAAGGUGUUGAAGAUUUCAUAGCCUGGCACUUUGAUGACAAAGGCAUGCAUUCUGUCUAGCAGGCCUAUAAGCUAGUACUCCCUCCGUUAAGAAAUAUAAGAGCGUCUAGACGGCAAAGCGCUCUUAUAUUUCUUUACAGAGGGAGUACAAGUUAAGUUAGAGGAAAUUGCAAGGAAUGGAGAUGCUGGCUCACAGAAUGUAGGGAUGCGAGGACAAGUUGUGAAGGCGUGCUUGGAAGAUGCCGUGUCAGAACAAGAUUAAGAUGUUUACAUGGCGACUGGCACGUAACUCUGUUGCAACACGGACAAAUCUUGUGACCAGAGGUGUGCAAAUAGAGGACACUAAAUGUAUUUUCUGUGGCAGAAAUGAGGAGGAGGGUGCUGGGCACCUCUUUGUCUGUCUGGUGUGAGGAAGUGAAGGAAAUCUGGCCGGCCAUGGGAAGGAAAUGAGAAGGUGCGACAGGCCGGGCGCUUGAGGGAUUUGAUACUGUUGUAGUAGCCGCUGUCGACUAUCUAUGGCCGUUGCCAAUGGAGCAGACCCUAUAUUUUUGGUGGGAAUGGUGGAAUGAGAGGAAUCGGGCGAGAAAGAAAGAAAGAAGGGCGGCUGCGCCCUGAUGAGAUAGAUAGUUCACCGAACAACCAUGGAGUUGUGGGCAUGGAGACCUCCAGGUGGACAUGCUGAGACCGAAUAUUGAUGGAGUCCAGCCAAAAUGUGUCUACUCUGCACCGCACCGAGAAAUUCUCGUCACGGGACAAAGCCUUCGGCAACCAGUAACGGAGCCAAAUGUUUGUCCCUCCCGCGCAGAGGAACAGUCGCGGAAAACAGGCGGAAAGACUUGUCAAAUGAAAAAUUAUACAAACUGGAUGUCAGACAAUCUACAAUAAAGCAUUACAUCAACCAUGACACAGCAGAUGAACCAGCUUGAAAUUUAUCCAAACGACAAAAAACAAGUCUUCAGACUCUGUCACACACGCUAGGUAAUAACAACAUAACAAUUCACCAAGGUUCCGACUGACUAUAUAACGAUAAUACGAGCAAAGCUACUGCAGAAACGAGUACGACAGACGGUCUAAAGAGCGAACAAGACGGCUUCUGCUACAACCAAACCAUACGAAUACCAUGCCUCUCGAAAGGGCAGAUUCAGAGGGCGCGCGACCAAGACGAACCAAUCACCUGAACUUUGGCUUCUUCGAGGGUGGCCCUCCCUUGGAGCUACUGGGAGGUGGGCGAGACUUGUUGCCGCUGCUGCUGCCACCACGCUGCGGCAGCGGAGCAUGCUUGCUGCUGCUAGGACCACCACGCUGCGGUGGUGCGCCGGACUUGCUGAAGGUCUUGACCUUGCGGCGCCUCCUUUCUUCCUCACUGUCAGACUCUGCGCCGUGAUCCCGGUCCGCGUUGGUCGCCUCCCGCUCCAGCUCGUCCCAGGUCUUGCCCUUCUCUUCCUCAGAGUCUUCAUCAGAAUCCUCUUCCUCAUCCUCGUCUGAUUCCACCAAGGACGCGCUGUCGGAGUCUUCUUCUUCCGAUUCAGACUCGGGCUCAGCAUCAGAAGGCUCGUACCCCUGGUCUGAUUCCUCUGUUUCCUCUGCCUCAGA